This is a non-coding RNA of Microcebus murinus (gray mouse lemur), 871 nucleotides long. The record is from RefSeq and is a predicted model, not a curated record. NCBI's taxonomy places the organism in Eukaryota, Metazoa, Chordata, Mammalia, Primates, Cheirogaleidae.
UGUGCUCGAGUAUGCCAUUAAAGAAGCACACAUCGUGUUGGCCUCAGCGUUAACCUGCUAAGCAGGCAGAAACAUCAGAAACAGGUGGGAGAGAAGCGGAGCUCAGAGCCUCCUUGGCAAAGGGAACUCUGCAGAUGCUUUGACAUCUGGGGUCCUGCUGGCCUGAGAAACCGUCCCUCCCGGGCAGCAUUGGUGGGACUGAUGUGUCCGUGGUACAGGGUAAGAAGAUCUCAGGCAGACGGGGAAUGGCUUGAGGAUGGAGACCUUGCCUUGGUUAGCUCUCUGUCCUCAGCAAACACAACGCCUGGCACAUGUGCACCAGGACAUUGGCGUGUGGCAAUAAAUUGGACUGAAAGUUCUCAAGGACGCCAAAAGGAUUUUUAGCAAAGUGUCCUGGACUUCCUAAGCCUCCUUGCUCCCACAAAAAUGAGAUCUGCAACAGAGACCUUGGGAACUAAUUAAGUAUUAGGACAUUUCCAUGCACUUCGUUAGCACUCCCACGGAAUGGCACCAUCAGCCCGUGGUCUCCUCUCCUAACUCAUUAAUAUUUGACUUCUCUGGCUUUCAGAUGUCUUGAAUAUUUUAAUUACAGAAUCUUAUUACAUGCUCAGGGAUUUUUUUAAAAGAAACAGACAUCAAUUUCAUAAAAGUUUUAUGAAUCUGACUCAAUAUGUGACUAUAUUUCAAUCCGAUAAGUGUUCAUCAUAAUUAAAAUGUAUGGCACCCUCAUUUGAUGCCAAGCGUUAUCUCAUUUAAUCCCGACGGCCGUCUUAAUGCAGUUCAGAGAAGUCAAGCAUUUGCCCAAGGUCACACGGAGUCUGACUCAACCAACACGCUUUGCCAGUUUCCCAAAGUUUCCCAGUCUAAUUGA